This is a long non-coding RNA of Peromyscus californicus insignis, 15423 nucleotides long. RefSeq lists it as uncharacterized. NCBI's taxonomy places the organism in Eukaryota, Metazoa, Chordata, Mammalia, Rodentia, Cricetidae. The record is from RefSeq and is a predicted model, not a curated record. The transcript is spliced from 3 exons.
AUUUAGCAUAAAGUGCUCACUGUCCUAGAUUUUAUGAUCACGUUGGGGUGGUGAGUGGGAGUAGGAGGCAGACAGCAAACAAACGAUGACAUCAGUACGCAACGCUGUGAUGGGUUGGGGCAAGUGCUGUGAAGUAAAAUGAGGCAAAAAGACUGUGGUGGUGGGGGUCUCAUUUUAGGGUUUGCGGUGAUCAUGUUUGUUUCUACUUUUAAAAAACAGAGGUAUAGUCUAGGCUGACUGGGGCUACAUAGUGAGAUCAUAUCUCAAAAAAAAGUGUAAUUGGCAUACUGCAAGAUGCACACGGGUUAAGUGUUCAGUCAGGGAGCUCCGACAAUUGUAUAGGCCUGAGAGGAUUUAAAAGCUUGUUGAAGGGGGAGAGGGAUGUCUCAGUGGUUAGAAGCAACUGUUACUGUUCCAGAUGAGCUGGGUUUGAUUCCCACCACCCAUGUGAUGGCUCAUACCUGUCUGUAACUCGGUUCUGAAGGGUCCAAUGUCCUCUUCUGGCACCAUGGGUACCAGGAACACACAUGGUACACAGGCAUACAUACAAGCAUAACACACAAACACAUAAAAUAAAAAUAAGUCUAAAAAUAUAAAUAAAAUAGAUAAACAUCUGCAAAUUAUGUGCCACUCCCUCCAUUCCUUUUCCUCAAAUUUGCACUGGCAUUAGUGACUUUCUUCCAUUGAUAUGAUUUCUAAAACUAAAACACCAUGGCAACGACUCCACCUGGAAGUGUUUCUUGUUCACGCCCUCUCCCUUCUGCCACCAGUCUCUCCCUCUGUCCCUCCCUUCCCCUCUUUCCUCUCUCCCUUCUCCCUUCCUUUGCACCUCUCUUUCCCUCUUUCCAUCCGUCUGUUCCUCAAAAUCCAUCCACUGCACUGUAGAGGAAAUCAAGAAGCCACAGGGAGAAACCAUGUGUAGAUAGAUGAUCUUGCUGACGCUUGCCAUACUGUGGUUCUGAAAUGCCCCAAAGGUCCAUGUGUUAAAAGUUUUAAUGCCCUGUCCAUAAUACUAUUGAAAGAUGCUUAAGAGGUGGGGCCUACAUGGAAGGCUCUUAAGAGGUGGUGCCUACAGGACUCUGGAGAUGUGCCUUUGAAGAGGAUGUUGAAAUGCUUGCCCCUUACUCUCUCGUAUUGGUUUAAAUAUUAAGGCAACUCCACGUAGUUAAAAGAGAGGUUUAUUUUGUGGGGUAACUUACAAGUGAAGGGAUAGGUUACAGAGUCUGGGAAAGGUGAAGCGCAGUCCAGCGGUGUUCUCUGGAGAACUCUGCUCGGUCUACCUCCAGCGUCCAGGAUCCAGGAACCAAGAGAGCCGGCCCAUCCGAAUCUCGGGUCUUCAGGGUCCUCUCUUGGCUCCACCUUGUAGGCAUGACAGUUACCGAAGCCUCAAAGGGAGUGAUACUUCCAGGUCAAAGCUGGAACAGCUACCCACUACACUCUCUCUUCCUGGCCACCAUAAGGUGAACAGUCUUCUCCACUAUGUGUUUCUACCGUGAUGUACUGUGCAGCCAUAGGCCCAAAGCAGCAGGACCAAGUACCAUGUGUUGGAAACUCUGAAGCCGUGAGCCAAAAUCAACCCCUCUUCUUUGUAAGCUGAUUAUUCCAGGAACUUUGCUACAGUGGUGGGAAACUGAUUAAUGCAUGGAGGCAGCCUAGGAUGCAGGCAACAGGCAAAGUUGGGAGUAAGUCAUCAGAAUAUUUCAGCCCCAGGGUCUUUAAGAUUUUCAGCCGAGGCCCCAGGCAUCACAGACUUCAGUCUCUGUGGCACCCUGUCUAAGUUCCUCUUCCACAGGAAUCCUGAGAAUAUAGUUGUUUUUGAAUAACUAAGUUUGAGGGCAAUUUAUAUUUCGGCAAUGGACAACAGAAACAAUGCUCAUGUAAUUGUGGUGGGAAGUUCAGAACAUUUUCAGCAUUCUAGAAAGUUCCUCUGGGCCCAUCUCAGUCAGUUCCCCAGUCAGCUCUUACUUUUUCUUUUACUAGCACAGUUUAAUUUUGCUGAUUACAGAGAAGAAAGAUCUUUGAACAAAAUACAUUUUAUUAGACGGCUUCAAAGAGUAUGAAGGCAAUUGAUCCGUGCAAAAAGCCAUGAGACAAACAGAGACAAUACCCAAAGAUCCAUGAGAUGGAGCAGAGGCAACAUCCAGAGCAGAGGCUACAGGUGGGAGUGUGACUGGGGAGGGCAAAAUAGACACCUAAUAUCAACCUUUAGCCUCCAGACCAUGUAUGGGUGCUAGUGUGUGUGUGCAUGCACACACAUACCUACACAAGUGAAAAUGCACAUGCCACACAGACAUGCACAUGCAAAGAAAGAGGAGGAGGAAAAGAACUUACUGAAGAAAAAAAUCAAUCAGAAACACUGGAAAUGAACAAUGUGAUACAUUAAAUAAAAAAUGCAUCAGAAAGCUUCACUGACAGAAUGGACUAAGGGGAGGGAAGAGUGUCCAAGGUUGAAGACAGAGUGGAAGAACUGACACAUUUCUUUAAGGACACUGGUACAUUUUUCAAAUACAUAAACAGAACACAUAAGAUCUUUGAGAUAUCAUGAGAAGAUCAAAUCCACAAUUCUGCCCAUAGAAGGAGGAGAAGACCUCCCUACCAAAAGCAUAGAAAACAUACUAAAUACAAUUGAAGCAGAAAGUUUCCCAAACCAAGGGUUAGAGGGGCCCAUCCAGGUGUAAAAGGCACACAGAGCACCAAGUAGGCAGGACCAGAAAAGAAACCCUCACAUCAUAUUGUAGUGAAAAGUGCUAAAUUUGCAGAACAAGAAAGUGUGUUGAAAGCUGUUGGAAGGAACGCCAAACCAUGUAUAAAGGUGGCACAAUAAGACUCCACCAAAAAUUCUUACCAUGGCUAAACACUUCAGCACAGUGGCAGGAAUCAAAAUUAACAUGAGAAAAAGAUGUCUAGAAAGAAAUUAGGGGAACAAUUCCGUUCACGAUUGCCACACGCACAAAAGUCACUUUAGAAUAAACCUAAGUGGGGAUGUGAAAGGGCUCUGCACUGAAAAAUUUUAAAACAACUCAAGAGGGAAAUGGAAGAAAACACUCAUAGAAGAUGAGAAGACUUCCCAUGCUCAGGGGUUGGGAGAAUCAAUAUUGUGAAAACAGCUGUCUUACCAAAAGCGAUCUGCAGACUCAGUGCAAUCCGCCUCAAAAUUCUAAUGCCAUCCUUUACAGAAACAGACAAAAUAAAUCAUUUAAAAGUUUUUUAAAGAUUCAUUUUUAAUCAUGUGGAUUUGGGGGGUGGGUAGAGUCAUGUGGAGUCCUUAAGAGGGUGUCAGAUCCUCUGGAACUGGAGUUACAGACAGUUGUGAGCUGUAGGUACUGGGCGCUGAACUUGGGUCCUCUGCAAGGGCAGUACAUGCUCUUCACGCUCACCCAUCUCUCCAGCUCCAUUUUUUUUCCAAACAGAGUUUCUCUGUGUAGCCCUGACUGUCUUGGAAUUCCCUCUGUAGACAAGGCUGGUCUUGAACUCAGAGAUUAGCCUGCUUCUGCCUCUUCUGAGUGUUGGGAUUGAAGGAGUGAGCCACGCCUGCCUGGCUUCAAAAAAAUUUAAAAGUCUCUUGGAACCACAAUAAACCUCAGAUAGAAAAAGUAAUCCUGAGGGGAUGAGGGAAGUUUGGAGGUAUCAUCAAACCUAAUUUCAAGGUAUAUUACAGAGCCACAGUAACAAAAUAAUCAAACAAACAUGGUAAUGGCACACACACACACACACACACACACACACACACACACACACAACAAUAAACCAACAAAAAACAAAACAAAACAAACAGAAACCAGACACAUAAAUCAAUGGAACAGAAUAGAAAAAGCAAAUAAAAACUAUAGCCAUAUAGUUUGAGAGCCAAAAAAUACUCACUGGAGAAAAGAGAGCCUCUUUAACAAAUGUGCUGGGAAAAAUGGGUUAUCUAUAAUGUAGGAGAUUGAAACUAGAUACUCAUCUCUCACACCACACAAAAAUCAACUUCACAUGCAUUAAAGAUCUUAAUGCAACCUCUGAAACUCUGAAACUGCUAGAAGAAAAAGAAAAGAAAACACUUCAAGAUAUAGACAUAGGUAAGGACUUUCUGAAUGAGAUGCUAGUCGCUCAGGAAAUAUUGCCAACAAUUGACAAAUGGGACUUGAUGAAAUUAAAAGGCUUUACAGCAAAGGAAAGGGUUAAUGGGGUGAAGAGGAAGUCUACUGAAUGGGAGAGGAUCUUUAGCAGAUAGACACAUGGAAGGGGAUAAAUACCUAGACUACACAAAACAAACCUGAUUAUCAAGAAAAUAAUCCAAUCAAAAGAUAGGCUGUGUAGCUGAACACAGAAUUCCUAAAAGAAUAAAUACAAAUGGCCAGUAAAUAAUAUUCAAUGUCCCUAGCCAUCAGGGAAGUGCAAAUUAAAAUUGUUGUUUGAUUCCAAUUCACCCUAGUCAGACUGGUUAUUCUCAAGAAAACAAAGGAUAAUAAAUGCUGUCAUAGACAUGUGGAAAGGGAAAUCAUCAUUCAUUGUUGAUGGGAGUACGAACUGGUGCAGCCACUACAGAAAUCAGUGUGGAGGUUUCUCAAAAAAAACUAAGAGAGGGGCUGGAGAAAUGGCUCAGAGGUUAAGAACACUGGCUGUUCUUCAAGAGGUUCUGAGUUCAAUUCCCAGCACCCACAUGGUGGCUCACAACCAUCUGUAAUGAGAUCUGACUCCCUCUUUUGGCCUGCAGGGAUACAUGCAAACAGAACACUGUAUACAUAAUAAAUAAAUAAAUCUUAAAAAAAAAAACUAAGAGAAAUGCCACAUGACCCAGGUAUACCACUCCUAGACAUACACACAGUAGGCUGUGCUGUGGAAUAAUCCUUUUGUGAAGAUUUGUCACUCAGAUUGGUUUAAUAAAGAAGCUGACUGUCCAGUAGCUGAGCAAAUAAAGUUGGGUAGGAGAGCCAGACUAGGAGAAUUCUGGGAGGAAGAAGGGCAGAGUUGGAGGAGGGAGACAUAGGGAGCAGCAAAACGGCCAUGCCAUGCUGAGAGAAGGUACCAAGCCACGUGGCAAAGUGUAGAUGAGAAAUGUGGGUUAAUUUAAAUGUAAGAGUUAGCUAGUAACAAGCCCGAGCUAUUGGCCAAGCAUUUGUAAUAAAUAUAAGCCUCAGUGUGUUUAUUUGGGAGCUGGUGGCAGGACAGAAACUUCAGCCUACAGGACUCUACAUCCUAGCACAGAGAUACUUGCUCACUCCUAUUUGUUACAGCUCUUCACAAUAGCUAGAAAAUGGAAUCAGCCAUGAUUUCCAGGAACAGAUGAGUGGAUAAUGAAAAUGUGAUACAUACAUGCAUAGAAUUUUAUUCUGCUUUAAUGAAAAAUGAAAUUAUGAACGUUGCAGAAGAAUUGAUGGAACUGGGAAAUACACUAAACGAGGAUCCAGGCUCAGAGAGACAGUCAUUGCUUCUCUCUCAUAUGUGGAUCACAGGUUUGAAAUUUCAGAUUUAUAUGUUUAAGUUGGAGUGACUGUAGGGGCAAGGAGCCUAGAUGGGGUGAUGAACGGGAGAAGGCACUAAGGAAGGGUAUAGUAGAACAUAAUGUGAUAGGAAAGUAGAGGGAAAGAAUACUGGGGUGGAGAUGUUUAAGUGAGGAUGGGGUUAGGAGGGAAGAAGGAGGUAAGGAGAUGAGAGUUAACCAAAACAAGGAUGCAUGAAAGUGUCCUAUGGAAACCUACUACUUUGUAAACUGUUAAAAAAUGGACUUAGAAAAAAAAUUAGAAUGGAAGGGUAAAGGACCAUAACUCUUGGUUGAGACAGCACCUCUCCUUAAUCCAAUGCUAGAGCCCCCACUGGCUAUUAAAUAGGACCUGAGGAGUUAGUGUUUACCUUUUUCUUUUCAAAGAAACAGUUUUGCCAGAAACUGGGGGAAGGCUUCAGUGAAAGAGAAGACAGAAGAACAGCUCACUGUUCAAUCUUCAUGGCCUGUGGAAAGAACCAUUGAUUAAAAGCCACAAGGACAGUAUUGUCCAUGUUGAGUAGACUUGGGAUCCUUGAAAAACCACUCAGCCUGGGAGGACUAUCAAACCCAGAUCUGGAAUGAACUGGAAUAAUGCGGCCUACAUUUUGAGGUGUUUUGUGUGAUCUCAGGGUCUGUUUUGGCUGUUUUCCUAGCUCCCAGCUUGGACUGUCACCUACACUUCAGCUUCACAAAGAGACAGUCCACUAGCUUGUGGUAUGAGAAAAUGCUAAUUGCUUAUUGGAGAAAACAAUGUACUAGUUAUGUACAUUCCAUGACUCACCCAUGCACAAGGUGACUCAACUCCCAGAUGUCCUCUUGCUGAACUCUGGCCCUUUGAGAUUCAGCCCAAAGGCUCUGUCCUUAUCUAAGCUUGAUAAUAUCUAUUAUCAAGCAUCCUAGGCAACUGUCAAGUAUCUUCAGAUGCUGGAUAACAUGCCUAGUUCUAGGAUUCCAGUGUGUAUGUUUGUAUGGUCCUGAACCUGAACAUUUAACCACUACAUGGCUCAGCCUCUCUGGGGAUGCUCCUCUUUCAAUACUGAGCACAUGGCAUGAUAUAGCAAACCAUCAGUUGUCCUGCAAGGCUCCUUACUCUUCUUAGCAGCAUGUGUCAAGAUGGAGAUGGUUUCCCAACAUAUUUUAAGCAAGCUAUUGCUAUAUAACAGAAUACGAGAAGGAACUCUCCUUUCUAGGACUUCUACUUUUACUGCCUAUGGGCCCGGCUUGGCCACACACACCAGUAUGGUACCCUGGUGAUGGUGGAAGAGCAAAAUGGAAAGAACUCUGGCUUCUGAGUUCUGAAGUCAGUCUAAACCAAGUGAACAGAGCCACCUGCUAAGCCUGGGACUAAUCUGUGGUUAGAGAACAAGUUUCAGGAUUCCCUAAGUCACUGUAUUUGGCUGCCCACUUGUCCUAGCUGUUGAAACACCACUCUAUAAACAAUUCACAUUCAGGUGAUCUAUUCUUCUCCCCACCCCCAUGAGACAGACAAGUCCAUGAGGGCAGAGACUGAAUCCAUCUUUCUGUAUCUGGCCUGGAGUAGAAGCUGGCACACGAUAAGUCCUCCUUGAUGGAUGCACCUAUGGAAUGAGUGGUUGAAUAAAUGAUUACUAUACUGUUGCAGAAAUGCCAACGAGAAGUGUUUGUGCAUUAAGACUAGAUGCAGGCAUAGAAAGACUGGUCCUCAGCCAGAUUCUAGACCACAUGCGUAACUGGCAGCAUCUUUGUGGGACUGGAGGGAGGGAUGCAGCAGAUUUUGGUGGAUUUUGAAAGGUGGUAAUGUGUGGACUUGCCAGUGCUAGGAAGGCCUGCCAGCAGAACCCCCUGAGUACCGUUUAGUGACCACUGUGGUGAUUAAAUACAGCAUACUGCACAGUGGUUCCCUAGCUCUUUUUCCAACAUGUUCUCCUGGUUGAGUAGCUUUGAAUCCAGGAAAGCAAGAGAUGGCAGAGGUACUGUCCGUCAGUAUCAUCUGUAGCCAUCUUCGAGCUGCCAGCAUGACAGCUGGGGAAGAGUAGGAUCAAGUUGACUGGCAGAAUGCUUUAAUCUAAUGAGUUUGUGCACAAUGAUAGUAUAAUAAAUAAGGCUCUAGAGGAACUUGGUUAUCACUUGCAUUCCAAAAGUGAGAUAUGGCCUUACCAGAAGCUCACAGAGCCAUCUGUCAUCAAAUAUCAGUCUCUGUGUCAACGGCUGGCCUGGCCUGGGAAAUGGAAAACAUCAGCAGAGGGAGGUACAUGAUGACACCAUGUCUUUCAGAAAGACUUAAAGGGAGCUAGCUCAAGGAGCCAGAGAUUUCCAGAUGAUUUUGAAGUAAAUAUCUACAGCCACUACCUAAAGCAGUUGGACUUGAAAUCUUAGCUGCUGAAUGCCAAUGAGCCUUUCCAUUGGACAAGUUCUGCCUGUCAGUUGGGUUAAGUUAUUGAGUAAUAUCGUUCUUAUCUGCCUGGAUUUGGGGCUGGAAUUAUUGUGAUCAUUUUUAAUGUGUUUUUGCCAGCUUUAUCCAACUGAUCCAAUGAAAUCUGACUGUCACCAGACACUUUGCUAAGGAUACAACCAUUGGUGACAGGGAUAUCGAAAGUGGACAGAAGCUUGAGAAUUAAAUAAAAGCUGUUAGGAUGUUCAGUUGCUUGGUUUUUUUGUCUUUUUUGUUGUUUGGGGAAAAAGAAAGAAAGAAAACUAGAGCCGAAAUGAAUCUUGUCAAUCAAUAACACAACUAAAUGCUGAGCAUAGCAAAUCCAAUGGUAAUGGAUAAAGUCAGAGAGGAAAGGGAGGUACACUGAUCACUUUAAAAGAAUUUGAAAGUAGGGAGGUACACUGAUCACUUUAAAAGAAUUUGAAAGUAGAAUAACAAUUUAUUAAAAGGAAAAACAUUCAAGAAUAACCAAGAUCUAGUGGCAGCAAAUACAGGUGACUGUGUGGGGCUUAAGGUCUCCAGCCAAGACUCAUCUUCUUAGGAUUUAUGCCUAGACAAAGUGAGGGCAGUUACAGGGAUGGAUUUCUAGGGACAGGAUUCAAUGAACUUAGUUUUAGUGAUUUAUAGAAUUCACCUUAGAAUUGGUUUCUCUGUUGAGAACUACUGUUGUAUGAUACUAUGCCUGAGAAGAUGAAAACUAACGUCUAUUCACUCAGAUAGGGAAUUAAUGAGAGAUAAAAGCCAGGAUUGGUAAACCAAUAUUUUAUUAUGGAAAGUUUCUUAUAAGAGUAUGGGUGAGGGUUUACUUACAGGAGCAAAUAUGACUCAAAGACAGUUGCGUCACCAGAAGCCCACCCAUUGUAACAGGUGACAGUUCACAGAGGCUGGAAGUCUGGAGUUCACUGCACCACCUGCAGGCGGCAUUGUUGCUAGAGUUUUCCUGCCUGGCCCACAGUCAGGAUAAAUCUCUGCCACCCUCCAGUCCCACAACCGCUCAGACCCGACCAAAUAAACACAGAGACUUAUAUUGGUUACAAACUGUAUGGCCGUGGCAGGUUUCUUGCUAACUGUUCUUACAGCUUAAAUUAAUCCAUUUUUAUUAAUCUAUACCUUGCCACGUGGCUCGUGGCUUACCGGCAUCUUUACAUGCGGCUUGUCAUCAUGGCGGCUGGCAGUGUCUCUCUGACUCAGCCUUCCACUUCCCAGCUUUAUUCUCCUCCUUGUCCCGCCUACACUUCCUGCCUGGCCACGGGCCAAUCAGUGAUUUAUUUAUUGACCAGUCAGCAACACAUUUGACAUACAGACCAUCCCACAGCACGGCAUGGCAGGUUAGAGGUUAGAGCUUGACUCUUCUGGUAGUUCAGCUGGUCUGAGCCACUAUUGGGAAGCUCAGCAGGACUGAGACUCUCAGAGUCUAGCUGCUUACAUAACCUUGGGGGCAGAGGAGACUAGUGAAUCUGCUCAGUUUCAGGGACUUUCUGAAGCUUUUGAGUUGUUCACCUACCCUGUAGGGUGGAAUGUUUCAUCUCCCCCUUAACAUAAUUAUAAGUCUCCCUUUCUUCCCUCCAAACCCUCCCAGAUACCACUCCCCACUCUCCUUUAGCUUUGUGGUCUCUCUUUUCAUUAAUUGUUAUUGCACACACACACAUUCCUAAAUUUAACUUGUUGAGUUUAUAAAAUGUUAUUUGCACAUGUGUUUUCAGGGCUCUUUGACACUGGACACCCAUCAGUGUGCUCUUCCUUGGAGAAGACCACUUCUCCUCCCAGCUUUCCUCAGUUUCCUAUAGUCUUUGUGUAGGGUUGAGGUUUUGUGAGCUCUUCCCCAUCCACUUUGGUAUGUUCAUUAGUGUCAUCCACAUUUGGGCAGUCACCUUGGUGAAACUUUAUGGGUGUAGCUUCUCAUGUUACUAGGUGAUAACUAUUAAAGUCACUUUUAGGAAGGGAGAUAGGAAGGAAAAGGCAGAUGGAAGUGAGGCAGGAGAUGGUGGAUAAUGUACAGAAGCUGUGCAUUCAGGGUUUUGAUCACUUUUUCACAACAUGGUUAUUUCUUCUAUAUUUUACUAACUAGGAAUAUGAUAAAAGAAAGUGCUUAGCCAGUUUCAUAAUUACUGUAUGUGGUAGUUUGAAUGUAAUUGGCCCCCAUAAUCUCAUAGGGAGUGGCAUUAUUAGUAGGUGUAGCCUUGUUGAAGUAGGUGUGGCCUUUUGGAGGAAGUGUGUCAUUGUGGGAGCAGGCUUUGAGGUCUCCUAUACUCAAGCUUUGCUCAGUGUGAUACUCAGACCACUUCCUGUUGCCUUUGAUUAAGAUGUAGCCAGCACCAUGUCUGCCUGAAUGCUGCCAUGCUCCCCACCAUGAUGAUAACGGACUGAACCUCUGAACUGUAAGUGAGCCACCCCAGUGAAAUGUUUUCCUUAUAAGAUUUUCUAUGGUCUGAACUUCUGAACUGUAAGUGAGCCACCCCAAUUAAAUGUUUUCCUUAUAAGAUUUUCUGUGGUCAUGGUGUCUCUUCACAGAAACAGAAAUCCUAACUAAGAGACUGUAAUUCUAAAGUCCCUUCAUCUGUACAUUUUCAAAGAUUAACCAAUCACACAAACUCAGGGAGUCUUCUGUUAGCAGUUCACAGUUCCUAGAUCCACAAUCAUCAUAAAUACUCUAGAAAGUAAACACAGAUACUACAACUUUGGGUCCUAUCAUCAUAAAUACUCUAGAAAGUAAACACAGAUACUACAACUUUGGGUUCUAUCAUCAUCAUAAAUACUCUAGAAAGUAAACACAGAUACUACAACUUUGGGUCCUAUCAUCAUAAAUACUCUGGAAAGUAAACACAGAUACCACAACUUUGGGUCCUAUCAUCAUAAAUACUCUAGAAAGUAAACACAGAUACUACAACUUUGGAUCCUAUCCAAGUUAAGAGAGAAAGAGAGAGGGAGAGCAAAUCCACAGAUGAAUACUUUACUUUCUUUUUACUUUUUAUGUUUGAUACACAAUACAAACAGACAUGAGAUUUUCUACAUAAUGUCUUAGAACUUAGUUUUCUGAUUUUAGCUUCAGAUUUUAAUUGCAUCUACUCUUCAAGUGUACUGGAGUUCUGACACCUGAUUAAUAAAUCAGCCUUUUUAUUCCAGUUCUAUCUGGUGUUCUGCAUCACCUGCACCCAUGUCAGCAUCAUCUUGAGAAACAAAUUUUCAAGACUUGGAUACAAAAUCCUUGAUGAAUGAUCUUCAUCGGAGGCUCUGGGAGCAGCUGAGGUGGGCAGGACACCUCAGGCCAGGACUUUCCGUAAUGUAUGUAAAAAACUUGAAAAAGUCAACUCAUAAUCAAAUUGUUAUAUGAUCCAGCAAUCCUACUUCUGGAUAUGACCACCUGCUAGAGUGGGAAAAAAAUCAGGAACAGCAGAGAGAUAUUUAUACGUUUACAGUCAUAGCAUCAUUCCUCACAAGUCAAAAUGUAGAAGGAACCUGGCUGUUCAUCCAUGAACAAAUGGCUACAUACAAUGUGGUCUGCAUGUGGGACAGAAUGUUCUUCAGCCUCAGAAAGGAAGUAAAUUCUGCUUCAACAUGAAUAAAACUCGAACACAUUGUGCAGGGUGAAAUAGGCCACAGAAAGGAACAGGUACUGGAUAACUGUCAGAUACCUAGGGUGGGAAGACUCAGAAAGACAGCAAGUUAAAAUAUGGUUGUCAAGAGGUGAACAGAAGUUACAGUUGAACUCUGGUGUCAGUUCUGGAAAGUGAAUGUGCUCAACCCUGACUCUAUACUUUGUAGUGGUUAAAUCAGUAAAGUGUAUUUUUGUUUGUUUGUUUGUUUAGUUCGGUUUUUUGAGACAGGGUUUUUCUGUGUAGCUUUGCACCUUUCCUGGAACUCACUCUGUAGCUCAGGCUGGCCUGGAACUCAGAGAUCCACCUGCCUCUGCCUCCCGAGUGCUGGGAUUAAAGGCGUGAGCCACUACCGCCCGACGAAGUGUAUAUGUUUUAUCAAAGUUUUUUCUUUUUGUUUUUUUGAAACAGGGCUUCACAUAGCCCAGGUUGGCCUCAAACUUACCAUGUACCCAAGGAUUCCUUUGAGCACCUAGUGAUAUUGCCACUCCACCACCCAAGUGCUGGGAUUAUAGGCAUGGUGAUACAUGCCUGAUUUAUGUCAUAUUGAGGAUUGAACCAGGGCUUCAUGCAUGCUAGGCAAGUUAGCACUCAUCCAAGCCCUCUCACACCUUCAGGGCUGGCCUACCUGUGCCUGUCUACAGCGUCAGCUCUACUGUGCUUCCCAGGCAAGGCACAGGGCCCAUUCUCCUGAGUGCGGCCGCUGGUUAUCGGGUUGGGACAGGUCCCCCACCAGCUGCAGGUGUUGAGUGAGAUGGGAGGAGGGCAUCUUUCCCUCACCCAUGCCACCACAUAGCAGAUGAGAGGGGCAUGACCUGCUCUCCAGUUCUCACACCUUCAGGGCCAGCUCGCCAGGCCCCUGAGAACAGGGUCAGCUCUAUUGUGCUGCCCAGGUGAGGUGUAGGAUCUUCUCUCCUGAGCCCUUCAGCUAGUGAGGGGCAGGGCCAGUUCUCCCUAGUGCUGCAGCCAGUGAGGGGCGGGGCCAACACUGUACAACCCUACCCCUCGGCCUUUGGUGGUAUCAGGAGCCUCGGACCGUGGCUGCAUUCAGGGCUACAAACCCAGACAUAGGCCCUGGCAGUAGCCCCGCCAAGACAUCACCAUGGUCCUGGGUGGCAAUUAAGCCACCCACUUCAGCCCGCUCUUCACCUUUUUCACCUCUUCAGAUAUGCCUCUGUCCACAGGACAUGGACCAUUCUGUGUCUCUUUCUCUACCAUACCACUCCAUACAUUUACUCACCAUAAUAGUGCCCAUCUUCCUGGUGCCACAAGGCACUGGGUAGGCUGUGUUUUCUCCUUGGAGCCCAGGACAGUCUGCCCCAGACCUGUGUGUGGGUCUCUUUGCUUCAUUCAAUCAAUAAUGUGGAUUGAUGGAAGUUCAAUUUCUUAAAGGGAACUGCAAAAACAAUGACUUUUUUUUUUUUUUUAAAUAAAGGAUCCAGUUCUUGUUUUAAAAGUUGUGUUCAAAGGUUUGAUAGUUGUUCAGUGAGGACUUAGGAAACUUUGAGUCUUACCACUCUAAAUUUAAGCUGUACAUGACAAGCUGGCUAUGCAUAAAAGGAAGAGUAUUGGUCAGGCUGGGCUAACUUGUCCUCUCUGUCACAACCUUCCUGUUAAGUGAUCUGACUGUCCAUCAGCAAGGGAGAUCUGCUCAUUCUGGUCACUUACGGCCAGGGCUGUCUCCAUUUUGUGACACAUGCCCAUGACUACUCAUCUAGCACACGGAGACUCACACAUGGUUCUUAAAUUUUUAAAUUUGAAUUCACAGUUGUUCAAAGCGAGUCAAACAUUUCCCUUCAGUACUUGCCAACUCUUCCCCAGUUCCUUGUUUUCCUUUUGCAUCUAAGCUGUUUUCUCUUGGAUGCCUGUCAUAGGGUUUCCAAGUGUGAUAAAACACCAUGGCCCAAAGAAAGUUGCAGAGGAAGGAGCUCAUCUGGCUUACUCUUCUACAUCACAGUCCAUCAUCAAAGGAAGUCAGGACAGGAACUCAAGCCAGGAACAUGGAGGCAGGAGCUGAUGCAGAGACCAGGAAGCAAUGCUGCUUCCUGGCUUGCUUUCUGUGAUCAAGAUGUAUUGACACUAUACUCUGCCUGAUCAUAAUGGACUAAACCUCUGAAACUGAAAAAAAAUACACAUCCCAUUAACAAACACAUCCAAGUUACUGGAUAUGGGGUCCACUUGAAUUUGGCAAUUAACUUUGAGGAUCCUGCCAAGAAGAUAACUUGUGAUGCAGAGGACAAUUAAGGACUGGCUCUGGGUGGGAUGCAUCCUCCCUGCUCUAGGGCCUUCUUAUAAGACUCUCUAGAGUGCCUGCUGUGAAAGCUCGAAGACUUGAGUUUGGAUCCCCGGGGUCCAUGUAAAAGCUGGAUGUGUAUCUAACUCCAUAUGCUGGGGGAGGGAGGAUGGAAGAAGGAGAAUCUUUGGAACUCGGUGGCUCAAUCUAGCCAAGUGGAUGAGUUUCAGGUUCAUGAGAGAACUUAAAUUGAAAAACAAGGUAUAGAGAGCUAUCAACAAAACCCAACAUUAACCUCUGUUCCCCCUCCACACACAUAAGCAUACCCCCCCCCCCGACAAGCACAGAGUGAGGGAACAUUAAAAAACUAGCUAUGAGAAGAUGUGGUAUCAGUCUGCGAAUCACAAAAUUUUCUGUGGAUUUGAAAUCAGUAUUAAAAUUUUUCAAAUAGCAUCUUUAGCUGGAUUUUUCUUCAAAAUAGACAUUUUCUUCAAAAUGUAGGGCAAAAAUCAAUCCAGAAAGAAAGAAAAAUAAGUACAAAUGACCAUACCAACCAAUCUCCAUGAAUACCAAUUUUAAGUUUUAAAAGGCCACUGAAGUCUGAGGCUGUUUGAAUUUGACAAAGUCUGAGCGCCCCCUGAUGGCUAGUUGGAGCUCCUACAGCACAUGCUGUAAUUUUAGUUGCCCUGGGGUCAACUUAUUUACUUUUUUCCUUCAAAUAAUCAAAGUGAUUAUUCUUAAGCAAAAGUGUUGUGUGCAAGAAAAAACCAAGUGUAUGGGUUUAUGACAGAAAAUAUGGAUUGUUUAAGACGCUUCUAAUUUAGUAAAAUUUAAGGUCAACGCAGAUUUUCUAAGCAAGAGAUGAAGUGUGCACUUUUAUAAGGACUGCCAGGCAAUUUUUGUUUUUAUAAAGGACUGCCAGGCAAUUUUUGUUUUUAUUUCACUGAACUAGUGUCUAAGUAUCUUUAUACCAUUCCAGGGAAAUAACACAAAUGAUCAGCCGAGAAAGAAAAGCUGCAGCCACCAUCUGAGCAUCAGUUGCAGGCUGGCGCCCUCCGCUGGCCGCUCCCAUGGCUGCAGGGCUGGCAAGGAAUGCCACCCACCGUGGCCCUGCUAAGGGGUGCGGGUGGCCUGGUGACUUUUAGUACCUUUCCCCCAGGCAAUUGUGUCACAAGCACAUACUCUUUUCUUUCGACAAAAAUCUUAUCUUGAUUCAACCCGAAGGCUGGAGUUACAAGGGAAUCGGUAAGCCGAAGUUACAAGGGAGCUGUGAAGAUAUAUUCUCCAUUGAAUAAAUGGAUCCUGGAGAAUGAAACCGCUUCCUGGGGAAGGUAAAGAGAGACAAUGUUUGCAGAGGAGAGGAAGCUCUGGCAUGCACCCCGGAACAAAAGGGAACAAGUGGUCUUUACUCAGAGAACAGCUUCCCAUUAGGACUCACUCCUUCGUACAUCAUGCCUUUCAUCCCCACUCAACCACAAAAUGAUUUUACUGAAGCAAAUACAAUGGUAGAAAAAGAUUUACACUGAAAGAAUCUUUAAUAAUAAACUGUUGCCGAUCGGCCUACUUGCCCGUGAUUUAUAAUACAAUAAACAUCGGAUUCUAUUACGGCUCAUGCACUGAAGCCUCUGCUCUGAAAAACGGAAUACGAAAGCGCGGGGACCCCGCCAUCAUCACAAUGAAAUGAGCAUGUAUAAAUGUGCUAAGAGUAUCUCUUUGCAUCUUU